AACGAACGCUGGCGGCGCGUUUUAAGCAUGCAAGUCGAGCGGUAAGGUCCUUCGGGACCCCAGAGCGGCGGACGGGUGAGUAACACGUGGAUAAUCUGCCUUCCAGUCCGGGAUAGCACAUGGAAACAUGUGAUAAUACCGGAUACGAUGUGCCUGUCACAUGGCGGGUGCAGGAAAGGUCCUGCGGGAUCGCUGGGGGAUGAGUCCGCGGCCCAUUAGCUUGUUGGCGGGGUAAAGGCCCACCAAGGCGACGAUGGGUAGCCGGCCUGAGAGGGUGGACGGCCACAUUGGGGACUGAGACACGGCCCAGACUCCUACGGGAGGCAGCGGUAGGGAAUUUUUCGUCAAUGGGGGCAACCCUGAACGAGCAAUGCCGCGUGAGUGAGGAGGGUCUUC
RNAcentral lists this ribosomal RNA (396 nucleotides) under uncultured bacterium. RNAcentral describes it as "bacterial SSU rRNA". It matches the Rfam family "Bacterial small subunit ribosomal RNA", at positions 28 to 419 of the family's 1533-position model. The record is from RNAcentral.